RNAcentral lists this ribosomal RNA (253 nucleotides) under uncultured bacterium. RNAcentral describes it as "partial 16S ribosomal RNA". It matches the Rfam family "Bacterial small subunit ribosomal RNA", at positions 524 to 776 of the family's 1533-position model. The record is from RNAcentral.
UACGUAGGGGGCAAGCGUUAUCCGGAUUUACUGGGUGUAAAGGGAGCGUAGACGGCAGAGCAAGUCUGAAGUGAAAGCCCGCGGCCCAACUGCGGGACUGCUUUGAAAACUGCCCGGCUAGAGUGCUGGAGAGGUAAGCGGAAUUCCUAGUGUAGCGGUGAAAUGCGUAGAUAUUAGGAGGAACACCAGUGGCGAAGGCGGCUUACUGGACAGUAACUGACGUUGAGGCUCGAAAGCGUGGGGAGCAAACAGG